Molecule: RNA transcript, 2257 nt
Organism: Mizuhopecten yessoensis (Yesso scallop)
Lineage: Eukaryota; Metazoa; Mollusca; Bivalvia; Pectinida; Pectinidae
Gene name: transformer-2 protein homolog alpha-like
Exons: 12
Source: RefSeq, a predicted model, not a curated record
UGCAUUUGAAGCGUAUAUUGCCGCCAUUCUUUCUCGUUGGUUGCACGUUGUAUUUGUUUGGUGGCGAAUCAUUUCUCAUAUAAAACACAUUCAACAUGAGUGAAAACGGAGAAUAUGUGUUUCAGCGAUCAAGGUCGGCAUCCAGAGAAUCAAGAGACACAGGUGAACAUUCAGGAACAACAGUAGGAGAAGAGGAUAAUAAUUCUGCACCUUCACGUUCACUAUCAGCACACUCAUCACGUCUGUCUAGAUCCAGAUCCAAGUCCGGGUCUCCAUACAACUACAACAACCAGAGAAGAGCAGGGUACUCUAGGUCAAGGUCACGAUCAAGGUCAAGGUCACCACGUCAUCGCAGGAGACGUUCAUACAGCAGAUCUCACAGUCGUUCACGAUCAAGGAGUCCUUAUGGUGACAGGAGAAGAAGGUCUGGAGCUGGAAGGAGCAGGAGAGACCAUGACAGGGGACGUAGAACCUCGUACCGAAGCAGAUCCAGAUCACCACCUAGACGAGGAUACAGAGGAAAGCGGGACACCUCUCCUAUGUCAAACAGACGGCGACACCAAGGCAACAGGGACAACCCAGAGCCAACGCGAUGCUUGGGUAUUUUUGGAUUGAGUCUGUACACACAAGAGCGAGACCUUAGAGACGUGUUCUCACGUUAUGGUUCACUUGAAGAAGUACAAGUUGUAUAUGACAGACAGAGUGGACGAUCAAGAGGCUUUGCAUUUAUCUACUUUAGAAAUAUCGAAGAUUCUAUUGAGGCAAAGGAUCGAUGCACAGGAAGUGAAAUUGAUGGACGAAGGAUACGAGUAGACUACUCGAUCACAGAAAGAGCACACACACCAACGCCAGGAAUAUACCUUGGCAAACCAACUGCGAGUGGUUAUAGUGGUGGUGAACGUGGUAGUGGUGAACGGGGUAGUGGUGAACGUGGUGGGGGUAGUGAACGCGGUGGCGGUGAACGUGGUCGAAGUCGCAGAUCCCCUUCCCCAAAUCAUGGCAGACGAGGACGAUACAACUCAAGGUCACGAUCACGCUCAUUUUCUCCACGUGGUCAUUAUUGAGAGAGCUUAGUAUAAGUUCUCAGCAGGAAGUAGCGGAUACUGACAAUGUAAAAUUGUUCAUUACCAAGACAGAGCAUAGUUGAUGCAGGCUCCUACAUGUGGAAAUGUUAAAAUAAGUGUGCAGACUUUCAAAAAGUCUGUGUACAUACAAUUUUGUCAUGACACCAUAGAGACGUGUGGCAUGUUUUCCCGCUGCGGUGUUAAUAGCAGAAGAGACUAUUGCUUGGAUGAUGAAGAAAGAAAAUUGAAGAUUGAAGUAAGAAAUUGAAGAUCGUGAAUGCGUAAUAUUCUUCACAUCGUGUUAUGGGUUGAAGUAAUACCAAUAUUCGAAGAGAAGAAUGAAGAAAUGUGGUCAGAUUAGUUGAAAUCAAUUUCUGAAGAUGAAGAAGUUCUGUCUAAAGGAUAAAUUAUUCAGAAGUUAAGGAAUGAAAAAUCGAAGAAAGGUUCUGGAUAAAGAAAAAAUAAUGAGAAUAGGCUCUGUGAUAUGCAUAGAAAGAAUUGAAGUGGCAAAACAAAUAGAAGAUGGGUUGAUGAAAGAUGAAAUAUGAAGCGUGGUAGAAGACAUCGUUAGAGUCUAAAAAUGGGACAGAAGAAUGAAGUACAUGGGAGUAUAGGGAAGACCGAAAAUUAAUGCAUGGUUUCUUGAUUUGGGUAAGAUUGAUAUAUUUUUUUCAUAUUUCUAAAAGAAUUUUUACUUGCGAAAAAAAAAGAGUUAAAGAAUUGAUUUUUUAAACUUAGCUAUCAAAAGAAAGUCAUUUCAAUAACUGAUGCUGAGUUAACUUUGAAAUGUUUUAAAAUCUUGUGUUUUUAAAGUUCCGUGUAUUUGCUCAGAAAUGAAUUUUGCUGUGCAUGAAAGGUGUAUUCCAUUUAUUGUGUUGAAAUGGCAUAUUAUCAGCUUGAUUGAGAAGGUUUCUUGAUCAAUGUUUUCAGCCUGGUAUUGGUAAGUAUGGUUAUGUCAUGAUUAUGUAUAUAUGCGUUAUAUAACUGCUCAGCAAGUCAGGUGGAUAGAGGAUGAAAUUUGAUCUUGGGAAGAAUUAUCAACAAGACCGGUACCAUGCAAGGAGAAGACAAAGGACAGGAAAUGAACAGGAUGGGGUACAACUGGAAUGAUUUCCUUACGGGUCUACAUCAUCUGGAUAGAAGUCACUAGCAGAUUGAAUUUCCUUGUUCAAUUAAUUAAAAAGUGAAAACUA